GCAGCAGCCACGGUAAUACGUAGGGUGCAAGCGUUAAUCGGAAUUACUGGGCGUAAAGCGUGCGCAGGCGGUUAUAUAAGACAGAUGUGAAAUCCCCGGGCUCAACCUGGGAACUGCAUUUGUGACUGUAUAGCUAGAGUACGGCAGAGGGGGAUGGAAUUCCGCGUGUAGCAGUGAAAUGCGUAGAUAUGCGGAGGAACACCGAUGGCGAAGGCAAUCCCCUGGGCCUGUACUGACGCUCAUGCACGAAAGCGUGGGGAGCAAACAGGAUUAGAUACCCCGGUAGUCCCUGUCUCUUAUAC
Molecule: ribosomal RNA, 302 nt
Filed under: uncultured bacterium
Lineage: Bacteria
Description: partial 16S ribosomal RNA
Rfam family: Bacterial small subunit ribosomal RNA
Source: RNAcentral